RNAcentral lists this transfer RNA (76 nucleotides) under Candidatus Planktophila dulcis. Its description in RNAcentral is "tRNA-Ala". It matches the Rfam family "tRNA". From Rfam's summary of the family: Transfer RNA (tRNA) molecules are approximately 80 nucleotides in length. Their secondary structure includes four short double-helical elements and three loops (D, anti-codon, and T loops). Further hydrogen bonds mediate the characteristic L-shaped molecular structure. tRNAs have two regions of fundamental functional importance: the anti-codon, which is responsible for specific mRNA codon recognition, and the 3' end, to which the tRNAs corresponding amino acid is attached (by aminoacyl-tRNA synthetases). tRNAs cope with the degeneracy of the genetic code in two manners: having more than one tRNA (with a specific anti-codon) for a particular amino acid; and 'wobble' base-pairing, i.e. permitting non-standard base-pairing at the 3rd anti-codon position. The record is from RNAcentral. Lineage: Bacteria; Bacillati; Actinomycetota; Actinomycetes; Candidatus Nanopelagicales; Candidatus Nanopelagicaceae.
GGGGACCUAGCUCAAUUGGUAGAGCGCUGCCUUUGCAAGGCAGAGGUUAGGGGUUCGAUUCCCCUGGUCUCCACAA